UACGUAGGGUGCGAGCGUUAAUCGGAAUUACUGGGCGUAAAGCGUGCGCAGGCGGUUUUGUAAGCCAGAUGUGAAAUCCCCGGGCUUAACCUGGGAACGGCAUUUGGGACUGCAAGGCUGGAGUGUGGCAGAGGAGACUGGAAUUCCUGGUGUAGCAGUGAAAUGCGUAGAUAUCAGGAGGAAUACCGAUGGCGAAGGCAGGUCUCUGGGCUGACACUGACGCUCAUGCACGAAAGCGUGGGGAGCAAACAGG
This 253-nucleotide ribosomal RNA is filed under the name uncultured bacterium. RNAcentral's name for it is "partial 16S ribosomal RNA". It matches the Rfam family "Bacterial small subunit ribosomal RNA", at positions 524 to 776 of the family's 1533-position model. The record is from RNAcentral.